RNAcentral lists this ribosomal RNA (474 nucleotides) under Streptococcus suis. RNAcentral's name for it is "bacterial SSU rRNA". It matches the Rfam family "Bacterial small subunit ribosomal RNA", at positions 105 to 566 of the family's 1533-position model. The record is from RNAcentral. Lineage: Bacteria; Bacillati; Bacillota; Bacilli; Lactobacillales; Streptococcaceae.
GGUGAGUAACGCGUAGGUAACCUGCCUCAUAGCGGGGGAUAACUAUUGGAAACGAUAGCUAAUACCGCAUAACAGUAUUUACCGCAUGGUAGAUAUUUGAAAGGAGCAAUUGCUUCACUAUGAGAUGGACCUGCGUUGUAUUAGCUAGUUGGUGAGGUAACGGCUCACCAAGGCUUCGAUACAUAGCCGACCUGAGAGGGUGAUCGGCCACACUGGGACUGAGACACGGCCCAGACUCCUACGGGAGGCAGCAGUAGGGAAUCUUCGGCAAUGGGGGCAACCCUGACCGAGCAACGCCGCGUGAGUGAAGAAGGUUUUCGGAUCGUAAAGCUCUGUUGUAAGAGAAGAACUGUGAGAAGAGUGGAAAGUUUCUCACUUGACGGUAUCUUACCAGAAAGGGACGGCUAACUACGUGCCAGCAGCCGCGGUAAUACGUAGGUCCCGAGCGUUGUCCGGAUUUAUUGGGCGUAAAGC